This is a long non-coding RNA of Astatotilapia calliptera (eastern happy), 1012 nucleotides long. Lineage: Eukaryota; Metazoa; Chordata; Actinopteri; Cichliformes; Cichlidae. The record is from Ensembl.
CAGAAUCUUUGUAUAAAUGCCACAUUUUGGAUCUCUCAUUCUCUCACUCUUACUGCCUAGGGCUGCAUACAAACAGCCAUUUUUGCUUGAGAAGAAUGCUGGCAAUAAUAAAACCUGGAAAUUCUAUAAAUCCUUGUGAAAGUUGCUUUAGUAACUUCCUUUUUUUCACCUUCCUUAGUGGAGAAUUAACUUGAGCAUUCUUUAUAAAAGGAAAAAAAAUAAUAUUGUCAUUUCAGCGUCCUUGAGCCCAGGGUUCAAGUGAGUCUUAGAUUCGAUUUAUAAUGUUCUCUAUUUGGUUCCUGCUUUGUUUAUAUUUUUCCAGUUUGACUUUUCAUUAAUAUCUUGAACAAGUAAUUUUUAGUUCCAGCAUUUUUUUUUUUUUUGUAAUUAGAGUUCCUGAGACUGUGAUUAGACUUUAUUAUUUCCAUCUACUUUGUUUUCUUUUUCAGCUACUCCCAGUGUUCUACUGUGUCAAGUUCUUUUUAAUUGCUUCCUGAUUUACUUUCUUACUUCCUGUUUCUUGGGCCCUAGUUUUAUAUUUACUUCCUGUCUACCACUGACUCAAUUAUUUUCACCUAUGUUUCAUUCCUCUGAAUAAACUUCAGUAUGACUGUGACCAUUUAAAACACUGUCUUCUCUUUGUUCUUUGUUGGAGUAUCUGUUUGUCCUCCUUGUUUAUUUCGUUUUGCCUUUGUACUGGUUUAUUUUAUGGAUUUAUUUAAAACCUAAACAGAGGUUCAUUUCCUGUUAAUUGACGUUUGGUCUCAGAGUUUGCAUUUGGGUCUUCCUUUUAAAAUUUAUUGCAUGCUUACAAAAAUAUACUGAUAGCAAUAUCUAGGGUGCUACCACAGAUUCUUGGAGCAUGUGUCAAAUUCAUACUGAUACCACAAAAAUACACAAUGAUUUUCACAGUGUUUUCAUGUAGUACACAUGUGUUAUGAUAGAGUUUAUCUUGGCUAGUGUGAGAAAGUCAUGUCCAUUAGCUCAUUCAAAAAUUGGCCCUCGCUAAUUC